AUACAUUGGUACAAUUUUUGAUAAUGUUUGAGACAAAUAAAUUCAAGGCAUUAAAUUGGUCGUCAGUGAGCAUUGAGGUUGCGACAUAUCAUACAAAUGUCAAAUGUGAGUAGCGUUUUAUAGCAAUGCCCAUUUGUGCUUUUGCCUGUACCUGAGGUUACAUAGGUAAGAUACUUAGUAUCACUCACGUAGGUGAGUAUGUUGCAGAAUAAAAUAUCACCAAAGAAUAAUAAUUAACAAUACGUUAUUAAGAAUUAGCAUAGUAUUGAAAAAUAAAAACAAAG
Non-coding RNA from Pelobates cultripes (western spadefoot toad), 284 nucleotides. The record is from the annotation of a GenBank genome assembly. NCBI's taxonomy places the organism in Eukaryota, Metazoa, Chordata, Amphibia, Anura, Pelobatidae.